UACGGGGGGGGCAAGCGUUGUUCGGAAUUACUGGGCGUAAAGGGUUCGUAGGUGGCCAACUAAGUCAGACGUGAAAUCCCUGGGCUCAACCCAGGAACUGCGUCCGAUACUGGUUGGCUUGAAUCCGGGAGAGGGAUGUGGAAUUCCAGGUGUAGCGGUGAAAUGCGUAGAUAUCUGGAGGAACACCGGUGGCGAAGGCGACAUCCUGGACCGGUAUUGACGCUGAGGCGCGAAAGCCAGGGGAGCAAACGGG
This 253-nucleotide ribosomal RNA is filed under the name uncultured bacterium. RNAcentral's name for it is "partial 16S ribosomal RNA". It matches the Rfam family "Bacterial small subunit ribosomal RNA", at positions 524 to 776 of the family's 1533-position model. The record is from RNAcentral.